UACGUAGGUGGCAAGCGUUGUCCGGAUUUACUGGGCGUAAAGAGCGCGCAGGCGGUCGUCCAAGUCGCGUGUGAAAGCCCCCGGCUCAACUGGGGAGGGUCACGCGAUACUGGUCGACUCGAAGGCAGGAGAGGGUAGUGGAAUUCCCGGUGUAGUGGUGAAAUGCGUAGAUAUCGGGAGGAACACCAGUGGCGAAGGCGACUACCUGGCCUGUUCUUGACGCUGAGGCGCGAAAGCUAGGGGAGCGAACGGG
This 253-nucleotide ribosomal RNA is filed under the name uncultured bacterium. Its description in RNAcentral is "partial 16S ribosomal RNA". It matches the Rfam family "Bacterial small subunit ribosomal RNA", at positions 524 to 776 of the family's 1533-position model. The record is from RNAcentral.